RNAcentral lists this ribosomal RNA (429 nucleotides) under Gemmatimonadota bacterium. RNAcentral describes it as "Gemmatimonadetes bacterium partial 16S ribosomal RNA". It matches the Rfam family "Bacterial small subunit ribosomal RNA", at positions 355 to 776 of the family's 1533-position model. The record is from RNAcentral. Lineage: Bacteria; Pseudomonadati; Gemmatimonadota.
UAGGGAAUCUUCGGCAAUGGACGAAAGUCUGACCGAGCAACGCCGCGUGAGUGAAGAAGGUUUUCGGAUCGUAAAACUCUGUUGUUAGAGAAGAACAAGGACGUUAGUAACUGAACGUCCCCUGACGGUAUCUCACCAGAAAGCCACGGCUAACUACGUGCCAGCAGCCGCGGUAAUACGUAGGUGGCAAGCGUUGUCCGGAUUUAUUGGGCGUAAAGCGAGCGCAGGCGGUUUCUUAAGUCUGAUGUGAAAGCCCCCGGCUCAACCGGGGAGGGUCAUUGGAAACUGGCGGCAUUGAGUGCAGAAGAGGGGGGUGGAAUUCCAUGUGUAGCGGUGAAAUGCGUAGAUAUAUGGAGGAACACCAGUGGCGAAGGCGGCGCUCUGGUCUGUAAAUGACGCUGAGGCUCGAAAGCGUGGGGAGCAAACAGG